CUACUACAGCUCCUGGACCAUCCCUCCCGACUCCCUUCGUCUCCACUAUUUGUGACUGCCUGGGCCCCCACUCUGGAAUCCCCUCCUAAAACUGCUUUUUCUUUCUCCUCCAAAAUGCUUCUUUAAAUAAUAAUCUCUUCAAACAAGCUUUUGGUUGGUCAGUCCUCACAGGGAUUUCAGUUUCACACAGCUCCGGAUAGGAAGGUAGAACGCGCUACAGUGAGCGAAACGGCUGCUGUUAAAAUGGAAAUCGAUGUUGUCGAACAAUAAGAGUUAAAACUCCCUCAUAAUCUUGCUGGGACUGAACAGAUACACACGGACAAAGGUUGUCGACCCAUUACUUGCAAAGCCGCACUUUCUCAGUAACUUACCCACGACUUAAUUCCAGGAGAUUGGAGGCUCCCCUUAAGGCGGACAAGCAAAAUUCCUCGCCAGAUUUGCCCAAGUUAGCCUGGGGCUAUUGCCACGCAGCUCUGCCAAAGUGGGUGCGAAGCAACAGCCGAUUUCGAGCGGAAGCUGGCUCAGAGAAGUUUGGAGAGCAACAGGGACAGAGAGGAGUGGGAAGCAUCUAACGAGAAAACAAACACACCUAAAAGCUGAGCUUCCGCAGAAGGGGAAAAGAAAAACAAAACGCCAGGGAGCCGCCUAUGUGCACAGAGUGUGUGUGUGAGAGAGAGAGAGAAAGCUGUAGGAGAUUUAAAGUCGCAGUCCACUCCCAGUGUUGCGAGCCUUAAGCUCCAUCAGUCAGCACGGAGAAAAUGCACUGCUGGCUGGGUACAGACCACACAGGAUGCAAAACCAAGUGCAGAAUAAGGGUAAUUGGCCUAGGACCUGAGGAACUCCUGCAGAGACAUCCUGGAGCUGAGAUGACUGAUCUCCAACAACCAUGACCAUCUUCCUGUGUGCCAGAUGGAUCUACUUCUACCACCGGUCGUAGCUGGGAAAUCGAUGAUCAUGCCAAUGAUAGAUGCACUCAAUUAGAUGAACAAUCAGCAAAGUAGGCAUUAAUGAGUAGUGUUAAUCUGCCAUGCUAAAUUUUGGGGGGGGGGGGUUGAAAAACAUAUUAGAGAAAAUUAACUUGACACAAGAACUGGAGAUUUAAAUGAAAGGCAAGACACCAGAAGGGUGGUACGGUGGCUCAGUGGUUAGCAUUGCUGUCUCACAGCACCAGAGACCCGGGUUUGAUUCCAG
Long non-coding RNA from Stegostoma tigrinum, 1191 nucleotides. RefSeq lists it as uncharacterized. The record is from RefSeq and is a predicted model, not a curated record. The transcript has 4 exons. NCBI's taxonomy places the organism in Eukaryota, Metazoa, Chordata, Chondrichthyes, Orectolobiformes, Stegostomatidae.